CGCAUACGCCCUGAGGGGGAAAGUGGGGGAUCGCAAGACCUCACGUUAUUCGAGCGGCCGAUGCYUGAUUAGCUAGUUGGUGGGKUAAAGGCCCACCAAGGCGACGAUCAGUAGCUGGUCUGAGAGGAUGAUYAGCCACACUGGAACUGAGACACGGUCCAUACUCCUACGGGAGGCAGCAGUGGGGAGUUUUGGACAAUGGGCGCAAGCCUGAUCCAGCCAUUCCGCGUGAGUGAAGAAGGCCUUCGGGUUGUAAAGCUCUUUCGGCGGGGAAGAAAUCGCAAGGGGUAAUAUCCCUUGUGGAUGACGGUACCUGAAGAAGAAGCACCGGCUAACUACGUGCCAGCAGCCGCGGUAAUACGUACGGUGCGAGCGUUAAUCGGAAUUACUGGGCCGUAAA
Molecule: ribosomal RNA, 400 nt
Filed under: uncultured bacterium
Lineage: Bacteria
Description: bacterial SSU rRNA
Rfam family: Bacterial small subunit ribosomal RNA
Source: RNAcentral